Molecule: ribosomal RNA, 485 nt
Filed under: uncultured bacterium
Lineage: Bacteria
Description: partial 16S ribosomal RNA
Rfam family: Bacterial small subunit ribosomal RNA
Source: RNAcentral
UUGAACGCUGGCGGCAUGCCUUACACAUGCAAGUCGAACGGCAGCACGGGUGCUUGCACCUGGUGGCGAGUGGCGAACGGGUGAGUAAUACAUCGGAACAUGUCCUGUAGUGGGGGAUAGCCCGGCGAAAGCCGGAUUAAUACCGCAUACGAUCCACGGAUGAAAGCGGGGGACCUUCGGGCCUCGCGCUAUAGGGUUGGCCGAUGGCUGAUUAGCUAGUUGGUGGGGUAAAGGCCUACCAAGGCGACGAUCAGUAGCUGGUCUGAGAGGACGACCAGCCACACUGGGACUGAGACACGGCCCAGACUCCUACGGGAGGCAGCAGUGGGGAAUUUUGGACAAAGGGCGAAAGCCUGAUCCAGCAAUGCCGCGUGUGUGAAGAAGGCCUUCGGGUUGUAAAGCACUUUUGUCCGGAAAGAAAUCCUUGGCUCUAAUACAGUCGGGGGAUGACGGUACCGGAAGAAUAAGCACCGGCUAACUACGUG